RNAcentral lists this non-coding RNA (130 nucleotides) under Plasmodium falciparum NF54. The record is from RNAcentral. Lineage: Eukaryota; Apicomplexa; Aconoidasida; Haemosporida; Plasmodiidae. RNAcentral also lists the same sequence under 3 other names.
AUUGAUCCUUCCAUUUUUAUGGUUGAACCUCCAAUGAUGAAAAAAAAAAAAAAACUGAAAUAAAAAGUUUGUAGAAAACUUAAAGGUCACCUUUAUUACCUUGUUAUUUUUUUAAAGACCCUGAGGAGGC